RNAcentral lists this ribosomal RNA (388 nucleotides) under uncultured bacterium. RNAcentral describes it as "bacterial SSU rRNA". It matches the Rfam family "Bacterial small subunit ribosomal RNA", at positions 27 to 396 of the family's 1533-position model. The record is from RNAcentral.
GAAUCAACGCUGGCGGCGUGCCUCAGACAUGCAAGUCGAACGCGAAAGGUUCCUUCGGGGACCGAGUAGAGUGGCGCACGGGUGAGUAACACGUAGGUAAUUUGCCUUUGGGUGGGGAAUAACUCAGGGAAACUUGAGCUAAUACCGCAUAAUGCAGCGGCUCGACAUCGAGACAGUUGUUAAAGCGGGGGAUUCGCAAGAACCUCGCGCCUAAAGAGAAGCCUGCGGCAGAUAGCUAGUUGGUAAGGUAAUGGCUUACCAAGGCGACGAUCUGUAACCGGCCUGAGAGGGCGGUCGGUCACACUGACACUGACAUACGGGUCAGACUCCUACGGGAGGCAGCAGUCGGGAAUUUUGGGCAAUGGGCGAAAGCCUGACCCACGCAACG